GUGGGGAAUAUUGGACAAUGGGCGAAAGCCUGAUCCAGCCAUGCCGCGUGUGUGAAGAAGGUCUUCGGAUUGUAAAGCACUUUAAGUUGGGAGGAAGGGCAGUAAGUUAAUACCUUGCUGUUUUGACGUUACCGACAGAAUAAGCACCGGCUAACUUCGUGCCAGCAGCCGCGGUAAUACGUAGGGUGCAAGCGUUAAUCGGAAUUACUGGGCGUAAAGCGUGCGCAGGCGGUUUUGUAAGACAGAGGUGAAAUCCCCGGGCUCAACCUGGGAAUUGCCUCCAAAACUACUGGGCUAGAGUACGGUAGAGGGUAGUGGAAUUUCCUGUGUAGCGGUGAAAUGCGUAGAUAUAGGAAGGAACACCAGUGGCGAAGGCGACUACCUGGACUGAUACUGACACUGAGGUGCGAAAGCGUGGGGAGCAAACAGGAUUAGAUACCCCGGUAGUCC
Molecule: ribosomal RNA, 450 nt
Filed under: uncultured bacterium
Lineage: Bacteria
Description: bacterial SSU rRNA
Rfam family: Bacterial small subunit ribosomal RNA
Source: RNAcentral